RNAcentral lists this transfer RNA (74 nucleotides) under Nicotiana tabacum (common tobacco). RNAcentral's name for it is "tRNA-Met". The record is from RNAcentral. Lineage: Eukaryota; Viridiplantae; Streptophyta; Magnoliopsida; Solanales; Solanaceae.
UUUUCAAUGAUACCAAGUCCCGGCUUAGCACUUCUUCAGCUAAAAUCAACAGGCUAGGUUUGGAACCCUUGUCG